Amborella trichopoda is the source of this 3281-nucleotide non-coding RNA. The record is from RefSeq and is a predicted model, not a curated record. Lineage: Eukaryota; Viridiplantae; Streptophyta; Magnoliopsida; Amborellales; Amborellaceae.
UGCUUAAUUGAAAAUAGGGCUCGUAGCAUUUGGGUACUCUGUUUCUAGAGAGAGAAACAUUCCAUUUGGGUACUACGUUUUUAGAGAAGAAAAACACGUAUGUCAUUUUCCUCUUUAAUUUGCAGGAGCAGGAAGAUUCAAAGCAUGCGGUUCAAUGUGAUGUAUAUGAAUUGGGUACAGUGGUUUUGGCAGGAGAAAAGAAAAUGGGGGAUACACGAAUUGCAGGGAAAAGAAGACUCCAGAACCCUAAAAUCUGUAUGGUUAGGCUUUCUUCUGUAACAUCACUCUAUUUCUAGACUUUUCUUUUCCUCUGUAAUUUGCAGGAGCGAGAAGAUCCCAAAACCCUGAAAUCAAUCUGGGUAUAACCCGUGGGAAGAGUUAGUUAUUACUUUGCAAGAAGAAUUUGUGAUUUCCUCUUUAAUUUGCAAGAGAGAGAAGCAGCACGCACGGAGGAACAAGGAUUAUGUUUGCAAAUUGUUUAAGCGUUUUUUUUUAAAAAAGAUUUUAUAUUAAAUGCGUAAUAUGGAUGGUCUUUGAGCCUUAAUUUUGAUUGAAGUUUUGGUGGAAUUUUGUCAAGCCAAAAUUUUAUGAUUUUUUAUUCAAUGGUUUUCAUUUUAUUAUAUUCUAAUUUGAUUCUAAUUUGUGAUAAUCUGGAUGGUUUGAGCCCCAAUUUGUGAUAAUAUGGAUGCUUUUGAGCUGUAAUUUAUGAUAAUUUGGAUGGUUUCAUGCCAUAAACAAUAUUUACAUUAAGUAUUAUCACAAAUAAUUACAUAAAUCUGCAUCCAUAUGAUUUUCUUUACACAAUGAUUUGCCAUAAAUAGUGUUUCCUUUACAUAAUGAUUUUUCAUAAUAAAUAUUGAAAUCUGCAUCUAUAUGCUUAAGUUAAAAAAAAAAAAAUCAUUCAUUCAAUCUGCAACUGUGGCUUUGAAGAAGAACAUGAUUUCAACACAAACCCUAACGAUACACAUACCUGUUGGUGAUAAAAAUUUAUAUUCUAAGUUUUUUUGGAAAUAAUAUGCUUUUUUAAAAAGUAUGAAAAUAGCAAUACACAAAACAGGAAAAAGUUACUGUUUCUUAUGUUUCAAAAAAAAAUUUACAGGUAGAAAAGGAUAUGCUUUUUUGGUCCAGCUUAAUUUGUUUAUCUUAAAUUCGCAUUUUAAAUUUUUUUCUAAAAAAAACACUUUUUUUUUGCCGAAUUUUUAAAGAACGGUCGGUUUAAAAGUUUUUUUAUAAAAAUACCAUUUAUUUAUUUAUUUAAAAAGCACGUUUUAAUUGCCGAUUUGCUAACUAUGGCUUGAAUACACAAGGAUAAACUUAUGACAUAGACAAAGAUAGAGCAUGCAAUAAAACAUACUUACACCACCCCAUAUCUCUCUCUCAAAUGCACUUGCAACCCGUAAAAAUUUCCCUUUACCCUUGAUUCUAUUCUUUGUAUUUGUCAACCAUGCGGGCAGGACCUGCCGUCAACUUUUCCAGCCCUUUUCUCUCUCCACCUUGUUUUAAGCAUGGAGCUCUUAAGCCUAUAAAUUGGCCUGUCUCUCUCUUCACCUUUUUUUAAGCAUGGAGCUCUUAAGCCUGUAAAUUGGCCUGAAUUGCUUCUUGGAUCAAAACUACAUUAGCAAGGAGACAAUAAGGCGAGUAAAGAUUCAAAUAAAGAAGACAGAGAACAAAACAAACAGGCAAGUGACCUACUUACUCAAUGAGAAAGAAUGACCUCCUCAACAAGGCCAAUGGGCUCUCUGUUCUUUGUGAUAUUGAUAUUGCUCUCAUCAUGUUCUACCAAAAUGGAAAGCUCAGUGUUUUCUUUGGGAAUAGUAGGUCACUAAACUCACUCUUUCUUUAUUUUCUUAUUACAUUGAAUAUUUAGUAAAACAUUGGGAAAAAUAGGUCACUAAACUCACCCUUUCUUUAUUUUCUUAUUACAUUGAAUAUUAGUUUCCUCAUGACUAAAUCUCUUAUCUUUAUCUUUCUUUUUUUUUCUCUUUGUCUAUGCCCUGGGUUGAAGAAAUUUUUGGCAAUAUAUGAACAUUCCUGUGCAUGUAUGGGUGAGUUCAUCUGAAGCGCCAUUUUUGUUAGAUAUGCAACUUCAAACACAGAAAGAAAAAACUUCACAAAGGCUUCAGGAUGAACAAGUAAGUAUCAUAUCUCUCUUGUUAUGUGAUUGUGUGUAUUAAAAUUUGUGGUUUGGUUUACUCUUGAGUCGCACUGAUAAUGAUGUAGAAAAGUAUAUAAAUAUGCCAUUUAUUUUAGGGGAAAUGUUUCUUUGGAACCCCACUCACAUAUAUAGCACAUGUGACCCUAAUCUUAGUUGUCAGAUCUGAGUAGAUGGCUGAGAUAUCUUGAGUCACAAUAUUACAAGCUAGCUCUUAACCAUUAGAUCUUGAUCAGACGACUCAGAGUUUUUUAUUUUUAACUUUUAUUCUAUAAAUCAUUUUAAGCCAAAAUUUGUGACAUGCAUAAAUCUAACAAGGGCGCACAUGAUUUUUUAAAAAAAAUCCGAUUAUAAAAAAUUACUAGAAUACCCCUAAAAAUGUCUGGGGUAUUUUGGUCAUUUAUUUUUAUGAAAAUAUUAUUCUUAAUUUUUUCCAGCUUCACCCUAAUUUUUUGAUUGGAUGCCCAAAAUUUUAUUAAAAAAAAUUUUGUAGAAAAAAAUAAAACAGUGUUUGACAUGACAUUGUGAUAUAAACAACCAAUGCUGUUUGAUUCAGAUCAAACGGCUAAGAAGUGGGGUCCCAUAUAACUUAUAUGUUCUUGGGUCACAUGGAAAGUUCCUUCUUAUUUUAGUACAAGGAGGUCACACUCAAUCUUUUCUAUCGAAUUUUAAAUCGGAUGGUUGUAUGUAAUUGACUAGACUCAAAGCUAUAAAGAAUUUCUCAUACUUCAUGACGCACUUCAAGCUAUCCGAUUGAUAACUAAGAGCUAGGAGUACUUAUAACAAUAGUAAACGAUCUUAUAGUACACAGUCUCAAAUGAUAUUUGCGCUGCUAUCGACUUUGUAAAACAACGUGUCCAUGAAAACCUUUGGAAGCUGAGGUUUGAAGAUAAUCUGGCCUCUAAGAUAAGCGGGUAUCUCUUUCUCUCUCUCCCACUCUCUCUCAUUUGGAAAUGAAGGGCUUCAUUUGUGCUUAUCUCAUUUGAAUGUUUUUCUUUGUUUCCUAAUAUUGGAUUCCUUGUGGACUGAGUUGAAUCAUCUCAAACAAUCUUGACCCACGUAUUCAGGAGGUUAAGCGAGAAAUUAAUGGGGUUCUGUGACAAUUGCAAGAAGCACAGAGAAAAUUAAG